This 951-nucleotide long non-coding RNA is filed under the name Erythranthe guttata (spotted monkey flower). RNAcentral's name for it is "long non-coding RNA (EGUT_LNC003457)". The record is from RNAcentral. Lineage: Eukaryota; Viridiplantae; Streptophyta; Magnoliopsida; Lamiales; Phrymaceae.
AGAAUUGAUGCAUUUCUUGCAUUUGUGCUUCAUAGCUCUUCUUGUUUUCCUUCUGCUAUGCUAAUUCCAAUUAUGCUCAUUGCACUUUGAAGCUCAAUUUCAAUUUCUUGUGCAUUUGACGAAUACAUCAACCAAAUCAAGAAACCAAAAAUUGAGUCUUGGCGGUCAAGAGCAUGGAAGAACCAUAAAAUACAAACUCAAAAAGGUUUUGGAUGCUUACAGUUUCUGUUAAGUUGAAUCAUCAAAUUGUUCACCUUUCAUUUCGUAACUUAAACUGCAUAUUCAAAAAGUUCAAUCGAAAUUAUUAAUAGGUCAGGAAAUAGAAAUAGGAAUUCACUCCAUUCAUAUACAAAUUCUCAUAAACAAAUAUGCAGUACAUGUUACAUAAAUUAAGGGAAAAAAACAUACAAAUAUAGAUACAAUAUGGAUACUACAUGUGCCGUCCUUUUCUCUCAUGUUACCCUUUUUAGGGCUUAAUAAUGCAUUUCCUUGAAAAACAAACCCGUAACCUCCAUAUCCUGACUUAUAUUAUCAUUAAUAUGUGCAAACACACUUGUUUAUGUAUAAUAGAUGAAGUCAUAGAACCCACUUUUUAACUUGCCUCAAACCCGAAAAGUGAGACAUAAUUCUUGUAGUAUUAAUAGCUACAAACAAGCAAUCAUGGGCAUCCUAAGUAACCUAAAGCAACUCAAAUUCAAUGAUAAACAAGUAAAAUACGAUAAAACCAUCACAAAGAGCAUAUCGCUUUGCCGAUCUCCUAAAUAACAUGCAAAUGGUAACACUCCAUGUCAAAAUAAUUUGAUGUGUGUAUAUUAAGUGAUCAAGUGCAAUUAUACCUCGGCCUUUUCACAUGACAUAAAAAUCAGAUGUUAUGACUGUAAAUCUGCAAUGUCCUCGUAGCUCGAAAUAACUGUAUCAACGGACUUCUUUUCAAUCUGGAACAGAACAAGU